GUUGACCUCGAAUCAGGUAGGAAUACCCGCUGAACUUAAGCAUAUCAAUAAGCGGAGGAAAAGAAACCAACAGGGAUUGCCCCAGUAACGGCGAGUGAAGCGGCAACAGCUCAAAUUUGAAAUCUGGUCCCCAGGGCCCGAGUUGUAAUUUGUAGAGGAUGCUUUUGGCGAGGCGCCUUCCGAGUUCCCUGGAACGGGACGCCACAGAGGGUGAGAGCCCCGUCUGGUCGGAUGCCAAGCCUAUGUAAAGCUCCUUCGACGAGUCGAGUAGUUUGGGAAUGCUGCUCAAAAUGGGAGGUAUAUGUCUUCUAAAGCUAAAUACCGGCCAGAGACCGAUAGCGCACAAGUAGAGUGAUCGAAAGAUGAAAAGCACUUUGAAAAGAGGGUUAAAAAGUACGUGAAAUUGUUGAAAGGGAAGCGCCUAUGACCAGACUUGGGCCCGGUGAAUCAUCCAGCGUUCUCGCUGGUGCACUUUGCCGGGCACAGGCCAGCAUCAGUUUGGCGCGGGGGACAAAGGCUUCGGGAAUGGGGUCCCCUCCGGGGAAGGUUAUAGCCCGUUGGCCAUAACCUGGCCCGGAAUGAAGAACCGCU
RNAcentral lists this ribosomal RNA (591 nucleotides) under Engyodontium sp. RNAcentral's name for it is "partial 28S ribosomal RNA". It matches the Rfam family "Eukaryotic large subunit ribosomal RNA", at positions 1 to 599 of the family's 3401-position model. Lineage: Eukaryota; Fungi; Ascomycota. The record is from RNAcentral.